Molecule: long non-coding RNA, 1445 nt
Filed under: Mus musculus (house mouse)
Lineage: Eukaryota; Metazoa; Chordata; Mammalia; Rodentia; Muridae
Description: long non-coding RNA chr5:99933527-99934972
Source: RNAcentral
CCCCACUACACACACACACACACACACACACACACACUUAGUCAUAUGUUAACUUUGCUAGAUUUUACUCUAUCAUUGUUAAUCUCUUAUUUCACUUCUUCCAGGUGUCUAAUUUUAUUUUUGAAUGUUUUUAUUAUUGAGAAUUUUACUUAUGUUUCCUUUUUCUCUUCUUCCUAUCUCAUUUUCCUUUCUCUCCAUACAGUAUUUCCCACAUCCCUCCCUCCUCCUCUCACUCACAUAGCUUUACUGCUUCUCCGUUUCUCCUUCCCCUCUCUCGUCUCUUUGCUACUUCAUGCUUACUCUAGAGAAUGUCUAGCUUCAGUUUCCGUUUGUCCACCGGCCGUUCUGUGCUCCCAUACUCAGGCACUGUAACUGAUUCCAAGCACGUCUCUAUGGCUUCUGUGGAAUGACUCACUGCUCACAGGAGUGCUGCUGGCUGAGCUUCAGAAGGAGAGGAAAUGUUGUCAGCCUGACAAAUUCUGGAGUCACCUGGGAGAUGGGCCCCUGGACAUGCCUGGGGGACGAUCUUGAUUAGAUCACUAAUGAGGAAGACCCAGCUUGCUUUCCGGUGAGACCAUUCCCUGGGGAGGGGACCCUGGACUGUAUGAAAUGGAAACAGUGGACUGAGCACUGGCAUGCUCUCUACUGAUCGAUUAUUUGACCAGCUGCUACUUCAAGCUCCUACACCUUUAAGUCUCCCCAUGACAAACAGCAUCUCAAUAACACUUUCCUUCCUGAAGUUGCUCUUGAUGUAGUAUUCUAUCGUAGCAACCGAAAAAGAAGCUAAAACUAUUCAGAACAAUGAAUGCAAUAAGAACAUAGAAGGCAAGGCAAAGAUCCUAGAGACCCUGGGUAGAUCUUCAUGUGCCACGUGCAAAGGCACUGGGGUGAGCGAACUGCCGGAUGGAGAGUUCAAGCACAUCCGCUUUAAAACAAGUGGUAAAUGACCACAGCAAGCAGACGAGCCACGCCCAGGCCUGGAGAGGACAGACAGUCAGCACCACAGAGGGAAGCGCUGUACAGUGACAGGAGAGUAGCAUGAAAUAAAACUGAGCAAGAAAAUUCACAUUUUGAGGGAAAAACAGAAAUUUUAGAAAUGAAAAACUCAGUGAAUUAAAUAAACACAGUGGCAGAAGCAUCCCCUAUAUACUCAGGAUGGAGGAGCAAGGUGAUGGACUACAUUUGAACACCAGUAAGAAAAAUAAAUAAACAAAUAAAUAACUAUAACAUUCCAGGAGCUCUGAGUACAAUCAAGAACUCAGACCAGGGCUGGCAAGAUGACUUAUCGAGUAAAGGGCUGCCAAGCCUGAGUCGCAUUCCCAGUACCUGCAUGGUAGAGAGAACGGACUCCUGCCAAUAUUACCCUGAUCUCCACAUGUGUGCAGUGCUGUGCAUGUGUGGGCAUCCAUACACAGUAAAAAAAAAGUCUAAUAAGGGCUGGCGAG